RNAcentral lists this ribosomal RNA (666 nucleotides) under uncultured marine bacterium. RNAcentral describes it as "bacterial SSU rRNA". It matches the Rfam family "Bacterial small subunit ribosomal RNA", at positions 69 to 732 of the family's 1533-position model. The record is from RNAcentral.
UCUCCGGAUAGCUUGCUAACUGGAGUGAAAGUGGCGGACGGGUGCGUAACACGUGAGCAACCUGCCCUGAAGCGGGGGAUAGCUCUCCGAAAGGAGGAUUAAUACCGCAUGUGGUCUUCGGAUCAAAGGUGGCUUCGGCUGCCGCUUCGGGAUGGGCUCGCGGCCUAUCAGCUUGUUGGUGAGGUAACGGCUCACCAAGGCGAUGACGGGUAGCUGGUCUGAGAGGACGAUCAGCCUCACUGGAACUGAGACACGGUCCAGACACCUACGGGUGGCAGCAGUCGAGAAUCAUUCACAAUGGGCGCAAGCCUGAUGGUGCAACGCCGCGUGGAGGAUGACGGCCUUCGGGUUGUAAACUCCUGUCAUCUGGGAGUAAUCCUUGUUCGUUAAUAGCGGACAAGGUUGAUAGUACCAGAAGAGGAAGCGCCGGCUAACUCCGUGCCAGCAGCCGCGGUAAUACGGAGGGCGCAAGCGUUGUUCGGAAUCACUGGGCGUAAAGCGUGCGUAGGCGGCGCGGUAAGUCGGAUGUGAAAUCUCUGGGCUCAACCCGGAAACUGCAUCCGAUACUGCCGUGCUGGAGUAAUGGAGGGGUAGCUGGAAUUCUCGGUGUAGCAGUGAAAUGCGUAGAUAUCGAGAGGAACACUAGUGGCGAAGGCGAGCUACUGG